UCACGAUAUUGAGGCAAUUUGCUCGAAGUGCCUGGUUUCAACUUCGAAACCUCUCAGGACGUACUGGCCAAGGUGCAGGCCAAUCCGCUGCAACUGUCCAAUGCUGUUCGCGCCGAAGUGCGUCUGGGCGGCCCUGUGGCCGAACCGGCUGUGGCCGGCAUCUAUCAGCUCGAUGGCAUCGUGCGCCGCGCGCCGUCACUGCAGCUCACGGCUGAUGCGCGUGCCUCGCAAGCCCAGGGGGUGACCGCAUGAUCGACACGAUUUACGGAUUCGGCCACGGCCUGAUCGCCGCGCCCUGGUGGACCAGCAUGGGCUGGCCGGUGGUGUGGGCCCUGAUCAAGAUCGUCGCCGUGGUGCUGCCCCUCAUGGGGGCGGUGGCCUACCUCACGCUCUGGGAGCGCAAGUUACUUGGCUACAUGCACAUCCGCCUUGGGCCCAAUCGGGUGGGACCGAUGGGUUUGCUUCAGCCGAUCGCCGAUGCAUUAAAGCUGAUUGUGAAGGAAGUCGUAACACCAACGGCUUCCAACAAGGUGCUUUAUUUUGUCGGUCCGGUGAUGACCAUCAUGCCGGCUAUGGCAGCGGGGGCACAUGGUGAUUAGAUUAGAAUCGGAACAGUCUUUUUUAUCAUGAUUUACGUGAGCUACCUGUAAAUAGAUUCGAUAACCCUUUACGCCUCUAUCUCUGUCCAAAUCAAAAACAUCUCUGCUGCAGAAGUGGAACAAAAGAAACGGGACGAAAGGGAACAAAAACGUGCAAGCUCCGAAUUGAAGCCCGAGUAAACGGCGGCCGUAACUAUAACGGUCCUAAGGUAGCGAAAUUCCUUGUCGGGUAAGUUCCGACCUGCACGAAUGGCGUAACGACUUCCCCACUGUCUCCAGGAUAUGCUCAGCGAAAUUGAAUUCUCCGUGAAGAUGCGGAGUACCCGCGGUUAGACGGAAAGACCCCGUGCACCUUUACUGCAGCUUCAGAGUGGCAUUAGGAAGAAAUUGUGUAGAAUAGGUGGGAGGCUUUGAAGCACCGGCGCCAGCUGGUGUGGAGCCAUAAUGUGAAAUACCACCCUGUUUGUUUCUGAUGUCUAACCUCGCGCCGUUAGCCGGCGUAGGGACCCUCUGUGGCGGGUAGUUUGACUGGGGCGGUCGCCUCCUAAAGAGUAACGGAGGCGCGCGAUGGUAGGCUCAGGCCGGUUGGAAACCGGCUGUUAGAGUGCAAUGGCAUAAGCCUGCCUGACUGCGAGACUGACGAGUCGAGCAGAGACGAAAGUCGGUCAUAGUGAUCCGGUGGUCCCUCGUGGAAGGGCCAUCGCUCAACGGAUAAAAGGUACGCCGGGGAUAACAGGCUGAUGAUUCCCAAGAGCUCAUAUCGACGGAAUCGUUUGGCACCUCGAUGUCGGCUCAUCACAUCCUGGGGCUGAAGAAGGUCCCAAGGGUUCGGCUGUUCGCCGAUUAAAGUGGUACGUGAGCUGGGUUCAGAACGUCGUGAGACAGUUCGGUCCCUAUCUGCCGCAGGUGUUGGAAAAUUGAGAGGAGCUGACUUUAGUACGAGAGGACCGAGUUGGACGUACCGAUGGUGUUCCAGUUGUUCCGCCAGGGGCAUUGCUGGGUAGCUAAGUACGGACGGGAUAACCGCUGAAAGCAUCUAAGUGGGAAGCCUCCCUCAAAACAAGUUUUCCCUAUUAGGGUCGUGGAAGACUACCACGUUGAUAGGCUGGGUGUGUAAGGGCGGUAACGCUUUGAGCUAACCAGUACUAAUAACCCGAUUGGUUUAUUU
RNAcentral lists this ribosomal RNA (1767 nucleotides) under freshwater metagenome. RNAcentral describes it as "bacterial LSU rRNA". The stretch from base 482 to 1767 matches the Rfam family "Bacterial large subunit ribosomal RNA". The record is from RNAcentral.